UACGGGGGGGGCAAGCGUUGUUCGGAAUUACUGGGCGUAAAGGGCUCGUAGGUGGCCAACUAAGUCAGACGUGAAAUCCCUCGGCUUAACCGGGGAACUGCGUCUGAUACUGGAUGGCUUGAGUUCGGGAGAGGGAUGCGGAAUUCCAGGUGUAGCGGUGAAAUGCGUAGAUAUCUGGAGGAACACCGGUGGCGAAGGCGGUAUCCUGGACCGAUACUGACACUGAGGAGCGAAAGCCAGGGGAGCAAACGGG
Molecule: ribosomal RNA, 253 nt
Filed under: uncultured bacterium
Lineage: Bacteria
Description: partial 16S ribosomal RNA
Rfam family: Bacterial small subunit ribosomal RNA
Source: RNAcentral